AUUUCCAGAAUUUUCCUCUCCUUCUUCUCUAAACCAUUUCUCAUCCCAAAACUUCCAUUUUCCACCAAAAUCAUGAAGGAAUCUUGGAUAUUUUGAGGAUUAAGCUAAGAUUCUAUCUAUAGCAACAAUAAUCAAGAUAUUGAGCGACUUUGGCUUGGAGAAGUAGUGGACUAAGGAAAUAGCAACGGGCAAGAUAAUUUGAUUAUUGAAACAAAAUUGGAUUUAAGCGAUCGAGGUACUCAGUAGAUCAAGGUUGACCCGAGCUUCCAUUCUUGAUCCGGAAAGCUCGCUCUUUUGACAUGUACAGUUUCUGUCUUUUGCUCUAGCGCUGCAGUAGAUAGUCAGGCUAGUUUAUUUUUGUCGAGGUCUAUAGCGGUAUGGUUGUAUUUUGGGUUAUCACCGCUUUUUGUUAAUAGUUUUUGAUAGGUCUCGUUUCUGGGAAUAAAAAAAUUAUCAGAGGUAGUUUUAGAUUAACUGUUUAACUUACAAAUGAUGAUUAAUGAUAUUUAUAUAAUGGCUGUUAAGUUGUA
Molecule: long non-coding RNA, 530 nt
Organism: Mercurialis annua (annual mercury)
Lineage: Eukaryota; Viridiplantae; Streptophyta; Magnoliopsida; Malpighiales; Euphorbiaceae
Exons: 3
Source: RefSeq, a predicted model, not a curated record